This 119-nucleotide ribosomal RNA is filed under the name Microcebus murinus (gray mouse lemur). Lineage: Eukaryota; Metazoa; Chordata; Mammalia; Primates; Cheirogaleidae. The record is from RNAcentral.
AUCUGUUGCCAUACCACCCUAAAAAUGCCCAAUCUCAUCUGAUCUUAGAAGCUAAGUAGGGUCAGGCCUGGUUAGUACUUGGAUGGGAAACUGAUUAGAAAUAUGAGGUGCUGUAGGCU